CCCACUUCUGGCUGGUUCACUGGCCUUGAGGAGUGGAGCUGAGCUGGAUCCACCCUGUGGGCGGGCCGGGCCUACCUGAGCCUAGCCUAGAUCGGUGGAACCCAGAGAACCUGCAAUCAUACGAUCAAGAAAUAAAUGCUUAUUGGUGCAAUGCGACGAAGCUCAGGGUGGUUUGUUAUGUUAUUACGUUAUUGUGUUAUGUUAUUGUGGCAACUGACCCAUGAUGCGAGAAGGGAGGGCCAGGCCUGGUGUGGGGAAAGGACACGGUCUGAGGCUGUGAUUUUGGGAAGUAACUGAGCUCUCCUGAGGAGCUGGUCUGGCAGCACCAUAUUAAGCACGGUGAAGACAGACCAGAGACCCCUGGGCACAAAAGCACCGGCUUGUCGCAGUGUCUACUGUAGGACAGACCCACAAAGCCACACGGGAAUGGCAGCCAUGAGCUGGGACAAACGACACCACAGCCAUCCUGCAGGCUCUGUGGGUGGAAACACCGCUAAGUGGCCCCACGUGUCACUGUCCCGCGAAGGAUGAUGUUUGUCUCUCAGAGGAUCAACACGGGCAACUAGACAAAUGGCAGCAAGCCAGUGAGGAGACUACUGGGGACAGAAUGGGAGCGAGGAGCCACAGCAGGGCUGGUGUGCUCUUCUCUGGGCUUUUACACAGCUCACAGGAAGGACAGCUACUCACCAGGACAGCACUUGGGGCAUGUGAUAUUAGCCUCUGGUGUUUAAACACUUUAAAAAAGAUAACACCUGUUGAUGCCCGAGUUCGUUAAGUUCGUAUAGAUUUGCCUGUCGUGUUCUUUCCUCUCACAGCAUCACAGCACUGUUGGGAGCUGGGCCAGCUCUGGGGAGAAGGCGAACCUUCUGGCCUCCAGCAACUCAUCAGAACCACGCUAAAGCUGGAAGCCCCUCCACGUUCGGGCAAGAGGCAGGGCCUGUAGGAAUCAAGGGGCAGUUUCCCUCCACGCUUCCCCGUGAUUUGGGGCAUGUAAGCCCAGAGAUCCUCAGUGGCCCUACACAAAGCACAGAUUAAAAAAAAUUUUUUUUUGUCAAUGUUUAUUCAUUUUUGAAUAAAAGACAGAGAGA
Molecule: long non-coding RNA, 1088 nt
Organism: Leopardus geoffroyi (Geoffroy's cat)
Lineage: Eukaryota; Metazoa; Chordata; Mammalia; Carnivora; Felidae
Exons: 3
Source: RefSeq, a predicted model, not a curated record